This 253-nucleotide ribosomal RNA is filed under the name uncultured bacterium. RNAcentral's name for it is "partial 16S ribosomal RNA". It matches the Rfam family "Bacterial small subunit ribosomal RNA", at positions 524 to 776 of the family's 1533-position model. The record is from RNAcentral.
UACGUAGGGUGCAAGCGUUAAUCGGAAUUACUGGGCGUAAAGCGUGUGCGGGCGGCUUUGCAAGUCAGAUGUGAAAUCCCCGGGCUCAACCUGGGAACUGCAUUUGUGACUGCAUGGCUAGAGUACGGUAGAGGGGGAUGGAAUUCCGCGUGUAGCAGUGAAAUGCGUAGAUAUGCGGAGGAACACCGAUGGCGAAGGCAAUCCCCUGGACCUGUACUGACGCUCAUGCACGAAAGCGUGGGGAGCAAACAGG